CCCCGGCCGUGUCCCUGCCCCUCUGCCCGGCCCUGCCCCAGCAGCCGCCGCGGGGCCGCCCAAGGCGGGCCGGGAGCAGUGGGGUCGGGCCGGCAGCGGGGUCGGGCCGGCAGCGAAGCCAGGCGAGGUCGCUGAGCCCGGAGCUCGGCUGGAGGUGCCCCCUCUGAGCCGCUGCCUAUGCCAGGCACCGACCCAAAGGAGUUCUGCGUAUCUUGGACUGGAGAGACGGGAGGAAAGGCCGUCCGAGGGGAAGUCACUCCUAACACAGGAUGAGAAAGUAUUUCAUGGACGAUGGAGUCUAGUUCCUUCCCUGCAGCAGUUAAACAGUGAAGCCUUUUUCCCAUUGUGGGCUAAUAUCUGAUGGACUAAUGUAUAAAUGGUUUAAUAAGGAAAGAUAUGCAGUGUUCUGACUGACCAGCAUUCUGGAGAAUCUUGUUGGAAUUUCUAAGAAGCACAAGUGAAAAUGAAGCUUAGGGUAUUCUCAUCAGCUGUACUACAUAUGAUCUGGAGCUGUCUUUCCUGAAGCCAGAGAAUAUGAAAAGGAAGCUCUCCUGGUCUGAUGCCUGCCUUUCUCAACUGUGGUAUUCAAGGAGAUGCAGUAGCUUAUUCUACAUCUUUGAACACCAUUUCUCCUGAUGUUUGGUUUCUUUGGUUAAUGUCCUGAAAUGUAAAUAGGAGUAUGAUUCUUAUGUGGUGUGAGGCCAUAAAAAAACCACCUCCUGGAGCUCAACUACAUUUUUUCAGAGUAAAUAACUUGAAAAGCUUGCAUUGUUUAAAGUGCAGAGGAAAGUCUGUGAGAAGUUGUGUUCUACAUAUCAAACAAAUUAUUCUUCUUUACGAAAGAUAUGUCAACCAACCUUGUGGUUUGAGCCCUCUCAUGACACAGUGUCUGUAAAAAGAAAUGACUGGCUUUAUAGUUUGGUUUAAUGCAAAGUUCAGGUUCUACACUUCCCUGAAAUACACAGACACAGGACUUUCUUGGGAUUGUUUAAAGACAGGUUACCUUUCUAUGACAAAAUUCUUCAAAUCUUCACCCCCCACCAACUCAAAAAAAACCAAAAAAAAAAGUAAAAAAGUUUGUUGAAAUAUGCAUUGAACAAUCCUGUGGCAAUACUCUACCUUGUUCUAGUAAGAUCAUGCUCUCCACUCUGCUCUGCCAGUUCCUACAGAGAAAGAUUUUAAAGUUGCCUUAUCUCAAGAUGUAAUUAUUCAGACUAACAAGAUGGAAGGGUUUCUAUAAAGGAAAAUUUGCAUAUGAAUAUAGAUAUGAUUCUGCAAAAGGUCAGCAUAGCAAAUAGUAUUGUUCUUGGACAUCAAAAGGAAUAAAAGGAAAUAAAUGAUUACUGUAGCAUUUAGAGACUCAUCUCCUGUUAGCUGCUGGGCUGAAAGCCUCUUUAAAAGGGCUAAAACCUUCAGCUCCUUUUGAUUUGAUUAAGUGCACUAAUCAUCUGUUCAGCUUGAGUCAGUGUGAGAUCCAAGUACAAGCACUUCACAAGCUGUUCCCUGUGUCACUCUGACCAGAAAGCCACAGUAAAAUCAGGCUGAGACCAGCACCUGCCCAAGGCACCAAGGGGAGAAACUGCUCCUUGGGAACCAAGUCAGCUCUUGGUUAACAAACCAGUCAACUGAAUGCUGCUGCUGCCACCUUUAACCUGAAGAGGGGACACAGGAAUUGACCAGCUCUAGGGUCAAGGUAUCACCAAGACAACGUGCAGCAGCUCUGCUCUAAACUCUGGUUGAUUUUGUAUCCCACUGGGGAUUGAAGCAGUUAUUCUGAAAACAUGAAUUCUAAGUUAAUUAGAGAUACCUCAAAGAAAGUAUUUCAGUUAAAGUUGCUUCAGAGUUGCACAUCUGGCAAAUAAUUCAAUAUUUUUAGCUUUCAGGAAAAUGUCUGGAGUUUAAUUAAAUAUUUUAGAUUAGAGAAAGGUUUUCCCUGGUCUUGAGUUGCUGUAUUUAAGCACCUUUUAAACUGAAUUAGAAAUGUGUUUUGAAUCUCUGGUAACUUUGGCCUUUGAGUGUUCUCCACCAAAAUACAUUUUAUAAUUCUGUACUAGUAAAUGCCACCAUCGUAGAAUAACUUUAUUGCAUAUAUAUGAUAUAGUGAUACUUUAGGUAUAUAAGGAGUCUUUGGUUUCAAAGCAUUUUACCUUAAAUUAAGCAGCUAUGGUAAAAAGAAUGAUUUUUCAUAUGUUACAGAAGGAUAAAUUGAAACACAGGAUGACAAGCCAAAAAACUUAUAAAAAAUUAGUCAAAUAGUAAUUUUGCAGACCUAUUUAAAGCAUUCAUUUUUCCAGGAUGUUUGGCAUCUACAUGGCUUCAGUAGUUCUGUGUAGUCCACCAAAACUUAUGUCAACAAGUCUGAUACGGAACAACAAAUAGUGGAAGUAUAAUGUAUAAAUUACUUUUUUCCCUCCCAGUACACAUUUCAUCAUCCUAGUCCUCUUUUCUAACAAGGAGACUAUUCUUUUCUGGAAACCUUCAAUGUUUCACUUUUUCAGUGGUGAUUCAUACAAAGCUACAUUUCAAAGUUAACGGUUCUGCAGCAACUCACCAAUCUAUCUUACAGUAUCCACCAGUAUAACACUUCUAACGCUUUUCUACAGAACAUUUUUCCCAUCUUUUCAAGUUGUUGUGGGCAACAUUUUACUUAAAAGUUAUCUUGGAACUUGCUAACUCCAUUUAGAAAAAAAGUAGAACUUUAAAUUACGUUUUUUUCCCCAAAACUGCUAAAGGCAACUAAAGUAACCUUUCUGAAAAUUUCUUUAGAAUAAAUAAUUCCUGGGGUAAAUAUCAGUUGUAUUCUCAACAUAUGCCAUGGUUGCAUUGACAAUCAAAUAGUGUGGCUCCUACAGCUCUUUCCAACAGGUAGUUAUUCAUAUGAUACAGUCCUCUAGUCAGCAGUCCAAAGGUCUUUUCAAGACAAGAUACAUAUUUUUUGUCCUAAACAUGUUCAUAGAAGGUGGAUUUGCAUG
Vidua chalybeata is the source of this 2972-nucleotide long non-coding RNA. RefSeq lists it as uncharacterized. The transcript has 9 exons. The record is from RefSeq and is a predicted model, not a curated record. NCBI's taxonomy places the organism in Eukaryota, Metazoa, Chordata, Aves, Passeriformes, Viduidae.